RNAcentral lists this ribosomal RNA (340 nucleotides) under Didymella cucurbitacearum. RNAcentral describes it as "eukaryotic LSU rRNA". The stretch from base 1 to 122 matches the Rfam family "5.8S ribosomal RNA", at positions 33 to 154 of the family's 154-position model. The record is from RNAcentral. Lineage: Eukaryota; Fungi; Ascomycota; Dothideomycetes; Pleosporales; Didymellaceae.
UCGAUGAAGAACGCAGCGAAAUGCGAUAAGUAGUGUGAAUUGCAGAAUUCAGUGAAUCAUCGAAUCUUUGAACGCACAUUGCGCCCCUUGGUAUUCCAUGGGGCAUGCCUGUUCGAGCGUCAUUUGUACCUUCAAGCUCUGCUUGGUGUUGGGUGUUUGUCUCGCCUCUGCGCGCAGACUCGCCUCAAAACGAUUGGCAGCCGGCGUAUUGAUUUCGGAGCGCAGUACAUCUCGCGCUUUGCACUCACAACGACGACGUCCAAAAAGUACAUUUUUACACUCUUGACCUCGGAUCAGGUAGGGAUACCCGCUGAACUUAAGCAUAUCAAUAAGCGGAGGA